This 468-nucleotide ribosomal RNA is filed under the name uncultured bacterium. RNAcentral describes it as "partial 16S ribosomal RNA". It matches the Rfam family "Bacterial small subunit ribosomal RNA", at positions 28 to 507 of the family's 1533-position model. The record is from RNAcentral.
GAUGAACGCUGGCGGCGUGCUUAACACAUGCAAGUCGAACGGAAAGGCCCUGCUCUUGUGGGGUUCUCGAGUGGCGAACGGGUGAGAAACACGCGUGUAUCCUGCCCUUGUCUUUGGGAUAACUUCAGGAAACUGGGGCUAAUAUCGGAUAGGAGCUCCUGCUGCGUGGGGGGGGUUGGAAAGUUUCGGCGGUUGGGGCUGGACUCGCGGCUUAUCCGCUAGAUGGUGGGGUAGGGGCUUACCAAGGCUUUGACGGAUAGCCGGCCUGGGAGGGUGGACGGCCACAUUAGUACUGAGAUACGGCCCAGACUGCAACGGGAGGCAGCAGGGGGGAAUAUGGCACAGCAGGCGGGAGCCUGAUGCGGCGGCGCCGCGUGCGGAAUGACGGCCUUCGGGUUAAGAACCGCUUUGGCCUGAGACGAAGCGUGAGUGACGGUAAUGGAUAAAGAAGCACCGGCUAACUACGUG